RNAcentral lists this small RNA (133 nucleotides) under Salmonella enterica. RNAcentral describes it as "RtT sRNA". It matches the Rfam family "RtT RNA". Rfam says of the family: This family represents a bacterial cis-regulatory element known as RtT RNA. The exact function of RtT is unknown although it is thought that it may be involved in changing the cellular response in relation to amino acid starvation. RNAcentral also lists the same sequence under 1 other name. Lineage: Bacteria; Pseudomonadati; Pseudomonadota; Gammaproteobacteria; Enterobacterales; Enterobacteriaceae. The record is from RNAcentral.
UAUCCCCCAAACUAAGGGGGGAUGAGAACCACCGACCGGGGUUCGACACAAAAACGCCGGGAGCGUUUUUGAACAGAGCUUGCUCUGGCCCCGAAGGGGCGAGCAAAGCGAGUCAAUCCCCCCCUCACCGCCA